AGAUCAAUUUGUUGGUCGUGCCUCGGUACGUACUGGCAAUUUUGAUUUCUCCUACUGAAGAACCAUGAUGUCAUUAAUUUGGUGUCAUGGGAAGUCAGGACCGUUACUUUGAAAAAAUUAGAGUGUUUAAAGCAGGCUCGCGCUUGAAUACAUUAGCAUGGAAUAAUGAAAUAGGACGUUUGAUUCUAUUUUGUUGGUUUCUAGGAUCGACGUAAUGAUUAAUAGGGAUAGUUGGGCUGA
This 240-nucleotide ribosomal RNA is filed under the name uncultured Glomeromycotina. RNAcentral's name for it is "partial 18S ribosomal RNA". The stretch from base 46 to 240 matches the Rfam family "Eukaryotic small subunit ribosomal RNA", at positions 694 to 890 of the family's 1831-position model. The record is from RNAcentral. Lineage: Eukaryota; Fungi; Glomeromycota.